Molecule: transfer RNA, 72 nt
Filed under: Bos indicus x Bos taurus (hybrid cattle)
Lineage: Eukaryota; Metazoa; Chordata; Mammalia; Artiodactyla; Bovidae
Rfam family: tRNA
About the family: Transfer RNA (tRNA) molecules are approximately 80 nucleotides in length. Their secondary structure includes four short double-helical elements and three loops (D, anti-codon, and T loops).
Source: Rfam by way of RNAcentral
UCCCUGGUGGCUCAGAUGGUAAAGCGCCUAUCUACAAUGCAGGAGACCCAGAUUCGAUCCCUGGGUUGGGAA